RNAcentral lists this ribosomal RNA (108 nucleotides) under Escherichia coli. Lineage: Bacteria; Pseudomonadati; Pseudomonadota; Gammaproteobacteria; Enterobacterales; Enterobacteriaceae. The record is from RNAcentral. RNAcentral also lists the same sequence under 13 other names.
CCGUAGCGCGGUGGUCCCACCUGACCCCAUGCCGAACUCAGAAGUGAAACGCCGUAGCGCCGAUGGUAGUGUGGGGUCUCCCCAUGCGAGAGUAGGGAACUGCCAGGC